GAUGAACGCUGGCGGCGUGCCUAAUACAUGCAAGUCGAGCGAACGGACGAUAAGCUUGCUUCUCUGCUGUUAGCGGCGGACGGGUGAGUAACACGUGGAUAACCUACCUAUAUUACUGGGAUAACUUCGGGAAACCGGAUCUAAUACCGGCUGAUAUUUUGAACCGCAUGGUUCAAGAGUGCAAGACGGUCUUGCUGUCACUUAUAGAUGGAUCCGCGCUGCAUUAGCUAGUUGGUAAGGUAACGGCUUACCAAGGCAACGAUGCAUAGCUGAGCUGAGAGGGUGAUCGGCCACACUGGAACUGAGACACGGUCCAGACUCCUACGGGAGGCAGCAGUAGGGAAUAUUCCGCAAUGGGCGAAAGCCUGACCGAGCAACACCGCGUGAGUGAUGAAGGCCUUCGGGUCGUAAAACUCUGUUAUUAGGGAAGAACAUAUGUGUAAGUAACUGUGCACAUCUUGACGGUACCUAAUCAGAAAGCCACGGCUAACUACGUG
Molecule: ribosomal RNA, 497 nt
Filed under: uncultured bacterium
Lineage: Bacteria
Description: partial 16S ribosomal RNA
Rfam family: Bacterial small subunit ribosomal RNA
Source: RNAcentral